UAAGGUGGCCGAGUGGUUAAGGCGAUGGACUGCUAAUCCAUUAAGGGUGCACGCAUGGGUUCGAAUCCCAUCCUUGU
This 77-nucleotide transfer RNA is filed under the name Petromyzon marinus (sea lamprey). Its description in RNAcentral is "tRNA-Ser (GCT) (tRNA-Ser-GCT-31-1)". It matches the Rfam family "tRNA". Rfam says of the family: Transfer RNA (tRNA) molecules are approximately 80 nucleotides in length. Their secondary structure includes four short double-helical elements and three loops (D, anti-codon, and T loops). Further hydrogen bonds mediate the characteristic L-shaped molecular structure. tRNAs have two regions of fundamental functional importance: the anti-codon, which is responsible for specific mRNA codon recognition, and the 3' end, to which the tRNAs corresponding amino acid is attached (by aminoacyl-tRNA synthetases). tRNAs cope with the degeneracy of the genetic code in two manners: having more than one tRNA (with a specific anti-codon) for a particular amino acid; and 'wobble' base-pairing, i.e. permitting non-standard base-pairing at the 3rd anti-codon position. Lineage: Eukaryota; Metazoa; Chordata; Hyperoartia; Petromyzontiformes; Petromyzontidae. The record is from RNAcentral.